RNA transcript from Solea senegalensis (Senegalese sole), 5545 nucleotides. RefSeq lists it as uncharacterized. Lineage: Eukaryota; Metazoa; Chordata; Actinopteri; Pleuronectiformes; Soleidae. The record is from RefSeq and is a predicted model, not a curated record. The transcript is spliced from 2 exons.
UGAGCAGGUCCCUGCACCAAUUCUUCCAUUACAUUUGAACAUGACAUUAAAUUCCCAUGGGUCCACCACAAUAGCCUGUCCAGUCACUGUGUUGCAGUCCAGCCCUAAAAUAUCAACUCACAGUCUGACCCUAUCCCCAGCCACCCCCAACUGUGGCCCAGGCCCGGCACCUUCUCAAGUUACAAACCUACCUCCGGUUCCAUUGCUGCUAUCAUGUUCAAACACCCAGGCACAAGCUUUUGUUCCCAGACAGAGGGAGACAAACACCAUUUCAAAGGACAGCUCUCAGAGCCAGAUGCCAUCUUCAAUUACCAGAUCUUCCAUUAAUGGCAACUUUGUUCCAAACCAAAGUCCCCCUGAAAUAACUGCCUCAAAGAUAUCACUUGUUGAAGCAGUGAAUGAGUCAAAAUCUGACACACCACAAAGCAGGAUUUAUACAUCAAAAGCAACAUUUUAUGAGAUUUCUAAACCUCCCUCCAUGGAGGACCUUACACAUUUAAACCCAACCAACCAUGGAGCACCGUUUUCUACCCUAUACAGAGACAAAGUGACUGUGUCAGUAAUGAAAACUGAUCAGAAACUGCCUGUAUCAAAAACCCACAGUGGAAGACCUAAGACCCCCUCUUGGAGACCAUCUGUGUCCACACCUAUUUUUGAAAUAUCAAAACCGAACCCACUUUUAUUCACUGCAAGUCCUGCUUUCAACUGCUCCCAAGAUUUACAGGUCCCUGCUACACAAUAUGGAACGUCACAGCUUAAUUUAGCCUUUCAAACUAGUAGUAUAAGUAAACCUCCUGUUGCCACAGAGGAACUGAAGGGAAACGAUGAUUUUCAAAUAACAUCAAACAUCAAACAAUCCAACAAUUCCAAAGAGAUAAAGAUUCAACAAAACGGAAGGAGCACAAUAAAUGUAAUUGUUGGCAAUACUGAACUGCACCACCAAGUGAAUUUAGCAUCGAGUAUCACUGCACCUGAAUCAGAUGGGCUCAAACCAACACUGAUGGAACCUGUCAAUAGCAAGCUAAAAACAGUCGCAGAAAGUGAGGCUUCAUCUUUACCAAAAGUUCCAUCAUUUCUGACACUAUCAAACAAUCUCACACCUAUGGCAAUGAUUUCAAUGCAAACAGCAACUAGUCCAAGCCCCAUUUCCUCUGCUAAUUCUCCUCCUGUGUUUGGGGCACGCAAAUCCUUAACGUCGCUAUUGGAAACUCAAAUGACCUUAGCCACCUCAAAGCCAAAAUCACGAUCAACAUACUAUGGCCUUACUCCAACUGAGUAUGUGGCCUAUGGUGGGUUUAGGAAUAUAGCAUCAUAUCACAGCCCAGCAGUCAGCAGGGUUAGUGAAACCUCAUUAAACAAAGUACAGACAGAAGUACCUGUACAUGGUUCAAACUUCCCUGAGUGUGAUGUGAGGAAACCACUCACUGGAUAUCAGGAUCUUCCCUCUUCAUUGGAUGUUUCUUCUGCACACAGUUUGCAAUCUCUGUCGUCUCCAAAGGCUUCACAGCAUCCAGCUGACAUGAUCGUCACAUGCAGCAAAGAUGUGUUUGAGGAAAGUCUCCCAGAAGUUCACAGCAUUGGAAAUCAAACACUGAAAACAUCUAACAUGGAUGCAAUAAAACCUGAGAUUCCUCUUGGCUCGGCACAGAAAAUAAUUCAACAAUCCACAAAUGAAGUAUCCACACCAAAAGCCUCAUACCCCAAGUCUCCAAUACCAUUACCUAAAGCAGGUGAGGUACACGCACAAAGUGAAGCACAAUAUACAACACUAUGCCUGAAUGAUAGCAGAAGUCUGUUGAGUUCUUCAUCACCUUUACUGAAAGUAGACUUACAUGCUGAUAUACAGCGUAGUGCAAAAGAGAACGACGCCAAGGAGAAUCUUGAGAAAACACUCACAAAAACAAAAGAAAACACAAUUACAAAUGCAAAACCCCAGUCAGGACUAAUAGAGUCUCCACUGGUCAGAUCUUAUCAAACUGCUAAUGGCAUUAGUCCAGCAACAACCUGUGGAUAUAUUGUUCAACUCAAUGCCAACCCUGACCAUAAAAACUUGGGUAUUCAAGAGAUUGAAUUUUCAGGGGGUGCCAUAAAUAAAACGCCCAUCGUAGGAAUACAACAAGCCACAAAACUUGUUUCAGCAACACCAUUGCCCAGUAAAGUGGCAAUGGAUACUGUCUUACUUACACAAAAGGAAGAGGUUACCGAGCAAGACAAAAUGGGCAACAAGGAGAUUCUACCCAGGAAAAACAAAGGGAGCAGUUUGUCUUACAUGGCAAAUUAUACUGACUAUAUGCUUGACAAAACAACAACUGGGACCCAGCAGUUUAAAGAACCAGUAGCUACUAACACAGAAUCCUGGUUGUCACACAGGCAUGCUACAGCCUCUGUAUUCUCUGCACAGUCCAGUAUCUGCACAGUAUCUGCAGAUGAGAAAAGCACCAAACAUCUCACUGAAGAAACUCAAACUUACAGUCUUAGUCAAACAGUAGAAAAUGACAGCAGUUUUUCUCGAGCAGGGCUCUCUUUGAAAUCUUCUCAAGGAUCAACCGAACUAAACCAAUCUGCAGUAAAUGGUCCAGUAUUAGGUAAACCAGUCACUGUGACCAAUAGUAUUUCAGACAUUCAGACUCCCUUUGAGACAGGCUUAUCAGAUGUGCCAGCAAAGCAGUUCCAAAGGACAAACAAAGUUAGAGAGAAUUUAAUUGUGAAGACACAGAAUAGUAUGGGAUCAAGUGACCAAGAUAAAGUUGUUCAAGGAGCAUGUUUGUACACAAACAAUUCCAAAACUAUAGAAGAAAUGUCACAAAACAUUGAAACCGCUCUUAAUAUCUCUGCUAAAGAUGCUAACCUGUCUAGUCAAACAAAUAAAGAUGCCAAACUCCCACUGACUUAUAUUAAUAGUAAUUCUAACAAAUUUAGCAGCUCAUCAGCAGAAUCAGCCAAUGAAAAGUUCAGUUCAAAUCAAGCUUCUAAUCUUCUUAAAGGAAAUGUAACACUGACCACAGCUAGUAGUGAAACAAAACCAUCCGACAAACUUUACUCAGUAUCACCAACCAUCCACAAAUAUUCUACAGAAAUAGUCUCAUCUGGACAACCAGGAGGUGUAAAUGCAGUCCAUAACGGACCUGCUGCAGAAACUACUCUGUCCAUGAAACCUAAUUUUGGCACCAAUGCUAAUAAAUUUCCUGCUUAUAAAACCAAUAAACCUCAAAAUGGAACUGUUCUGCCAAUUAUAACAAAUCAAUCAAUGACCUGUAAACCAAUAGUUAAUACUGGUCAGGUCAGUAAACCAACAGUAUGUGUGCAGUAUUGUCCUACCAUGCUACAUGUCACUCCAAAAAGCCCUCUGCUAAUAUCAGAGAGAAGAUCCACAACAAAACAACCUAUUGAUGAAAAAUGUGUUCCUGGCUAUGUUGAGCAAACCGGAGCCUUUAUGAGCUCAAAAGCAGAUGGCAAGCAUGUUGUCACCAUACUUGCUGAGCAAAGAUCAGCAGAGCCAUCUUCCCCUCAAAUUACAAAUAACAUGGCUUUGAAAAGAAAAUCCCCUGUCCCCCAGCCAAUUAAACACCCUGUUACAUCCAGCACCAAGUCAACAACUUCCAAUUCUACUGGUCAUAUUACAGCUAACAUAUCUAAUGUCAGCGUAGAACCGCAAACCAUUACAAAUCCAGGUCAUAUGCUAUAUGAAGAUAAUGUUCAAACUUCUGCAAAUGUAGUGAACGCUGAGACUGGAAUGAAACAGCUAUGGCAAUCUGUCGCAGAAACAAAUAAUUAUGUAGAAAUGAACUGCCAUAUUAUAAAUAAUCACGCUCCGUCACACUCUGCUUUAUGUAACUAUAAUACUACAAAUAAAGCCCAAAAUAGUUCUCCUAAAGAAACAAAAUAUUUGACUGCAACAAGAGCUUCCCCUCUACCUAAGCCAAGAGUGCGUACUAAACCUAUACGGACCUAUACUCCAACUAUAUUACAGGGCUGUCAAACUCCAGUCUCUUUGAGUACUACUACAGAAACAAAAGUCAUAUCAGUCAUUAUGAAAGACCAGAAAACCGCUCCAGUUACACCUCUUCAAAAUAAUACAUCUACAAGUACUGUUGAGUCCUCUGCAAAGUCAGUCACAGAGAAUAUCUCAAAAGUAGAAAUAAAACAACCCAUAGACACUUUAGUCCCUGAGGUAAAAGAACAUUCCCAAACACAAGACUUAAAGACAAUCCUAGCAUUAGUUUCUAGUAAAGAAGAACUCCCUUCAUUGAAAUUUGAAGCUAAUGCUCCCUCCCACUCUGCUGAUGUUUUACCUAGUAAACCUACUCCAAAAGCAGAACUUUCCGCUAGGCAGGUAGAAUCAAGACCUUCAUCUAACAUUGUAGAAACAAAACCAUCAGUUGUAAACAUAGAUUCUUCAAAGUCUACCUCCAAUACAGCCCUGAUUAGCUCACAGACUAGUAAUGUUCAGGCCUCAACAGGGCUACUCAUACAGAACAUUGCCCCUGCAAAGCCAGCAACAGAUACUGUCAUGAAACCAUCCAUAGUUAAAGCUGCUGUGAUUGACUCUGCCAAUCCUGCCUCUCUGCCUCAGGCCUCAGUCUCAGUCAAAGCUCCACCCCAAAACAGAGGAACAUCACCGUCAUCUCAGCAAAAAGCUGGACACAAAGACAAGGACAUUCUGAAGACCAAAGCCACGACUGCACAGAUGAAAGCCCCAGCAGCCGAACCCUGCACGAAGUCAGCGACAUCACCUGUAUCUUCAACUGCUGACAAGAAGGUCGUUGCGGCAGAGAUCUCCUCUUCAUCCACUGAGCCAAAGGCUGCCCAGAAGCCAAAAGGCCUGAAGGGUAAGCUGAGUGGAUGGACACGGCUCAAAAAACACAUGGUUGUUGAGCCAGAGGAACCUAUAUUUCCAGAGCAAGAGGCCAAAUCUCAGGUUGAUGAGAGAGGUAGCAAUGAGAACAUGGAUCAAGGUGGUAGUGAUAUGACAUCAGUAGAUCAAUGUGCCAAUCGAGAAGUGGUUUCAGACAAAGACGCUCCCAGGGCGUUGAAAAUGUGGGAUGCUCUCCUCUUCCAGAUGUUCUCCACCAAAGAGCGGAUAAUGCAGCAGAUCAACAAGAAAGAGUCAAAUGAGAAAAAGGCAUCGAAAGAAAAUCAGGCAGAAGUUCCCACUUUUGUUAAUCGCCUGCCUAUUUUACUUUACAGUCCCCGUUUUGAUGCCAGGAAGCUUAAAGAGGCAGCAGAGAAGCCACUGAAUAAGAUAGCAGCUGUGUUUGAAAAGGGGCUGAUAAAACGCAAAUCCCAGGAGGAAGAAAAAAAGGACUUCAACAGAACUGCCAGAGGAUUUGGUUCAGGAAACAAAACCAACAUGUAAUUUGAAUUGAUGUAAAAGCCCAAUUUGGAGUCCUGGAUCAUUUUUAUGGUGGAUAAUUAAUGGAUUACCAUCAUGGUGUGGAAUUUCUUUAAGUGAGGGGAAGUCCACCCCUAUAUGCUAUGGCCCCAUUUAUUACAUUGAUGGUAAAACUAUAAUGUGUUUUAUUUACUGUGUGAUUAAAACAAUGCA